GGAGAAAAAGAAAUGAGAGCAGGAGGAGUGUUUAAAAUAUCAUGACAAGUAGUUUCCGUGUGUGUGAGAGCGUGUGAAUUGCGCCUAAUUGCCGCGGCUGGUCUCUAUCUCCUCCGCUCCAAGUUUGUACUUUAGUUAAUAACCCCUGGGUAUCCAUCCACAGGGCCUGAAAUCGCUGCGAGCUGGGCUGGCUGAGGGCACUGCGGCUGGGGGUCACUGUGGGGAGGGGGGCCGACGGGGAAGUAGGAGGCGGCCGGCCGGCGGAGCGCUGCCUGGGAAAGAAAGGUGGCCAACUUGGUCUUUUCCUUUCUAGCGCUCUCCUUUUCCUUCUUUCCCUCCCUCCUUCCUUCCUCCGUUUAUUCCUUUCUUCCCUUUUUUCCUCUUCUUCAAGUCAACAAAUAUUUUUCUACCCUUUUUCAAUUUUUCUUCCUUCUGAACAAAUUUCUUCCUCUCUUGUCCUUUACUUUUUUCCAUCCUUUCUUCAACAAAUAUUAAUUCCCCUCCUGUCUUUUCCUUCCUUCCUUUCUUCAACAAACAUCUCUUCCACUCUUUCCCCUUUUUAAUUUAAUAAGCAUUUCUUCUCUCUCUCCCUUUCCCUCCUUUCAACAGGCCUUUCCUCCCUUCUUUCUUAUCUUCCUUUUUUCCUUUCUUCCUUCUCUCUUUGUACUUUCUUCUCCCCGCUUCCCAUCCCCUCACUCCCUCCGGGUGAGGGCCUUAGGACCCUCUCUUGUUUCUCAGUCCAGCCCUGCCCUGACAUCUCCCAACCGCGAGGCUGUGGCUCCUUUCCGUGGGGAGUUCGAUCCCGGAGCUUCUCAAGACCUGAGAGAGCAGGCCAGGGGAGGGAGUCGUUGCUGGGGGCUCAAUAGAGCAAGGAUGAGGACCACCACUGAGCGCCUUGACCACUGGAGUCACCAGGUAGGAAAUCGGAGGUAGGACCCCUGAUUCCAGUCCAGCCCUCCUGCCCCGGUGCCAGAGGAACGAAAAUGUUGGGACCCCAUUCUCAGGGGUCCCCAAGAACGGGGGAACUAAGGGAGGAAGUAAAAAGCACUUUGGCAGGAGCGCCAUUGAGAUUUCAGCUGGCAUCGUUAUUAUCUAAUUGGGGUGCCACCGGUGAGUACAAGAUACAAUCCCUUCACGCCUAGCUAGGAUUACACAGGUCUGGGAGGAAGCCCCGUUUGGAGACGGAAUUUGGAAUCGGAAGACCUGAUUUCAUUGGUGCAGAGCCAGGGGUUCCUCAAGUGUGUGGUUCACGAGUUUAAUUUCUACGAGGGUAAAAAAUGGGUGGACAGCGAUCACAAAAACAAACGGGUAUUUGAAGGACCCGUAUAGCCAGCCAGUGCCUGUGCUAGGCGCCGGGAAUACAAAGGAAGCAAAAGGCAGCGCUUGUCCUGGAGGAGCCUGCAGUCUAAUGGAGGAGGCGACCAGGCAGGCAAACAGGCUCUAGGCAGGACCGGCUGGAGAUCCUGGAUCCCAGAAUUAAGAGCCACCAAGAAUGGCUUCCUGGAGAUGAGAGGGCUUCCGCUGGGACUUGAAGGAAGCCAGGGCUUGUUUAGGGGUGUAAAGGUUUGAGACGCAUCGGUACAUUUUCCCUUCCGAUCCAUUCGAUACAAAUGUAACUCGUUUUGGAGUCGGAGGACCUGGGUGCAAAUCUAAGUCCAUGAUUUUACUGCUUUGGGCAACUCACUUCACCUCAUUGGGCCCGAGUUUCCUCUCCAGGAUCAUGCCCAGUUCUAAGUCUGUGAUCUGGAAUUUCACUUCUACAGCUUGCCUAAAGUUCCCCCCCUCAACUCGAGUGCUCAGUGUCCUGGGGUCAGAGUUCUAAAACUGGGAACCCAUUUCAGAAGGCCUCGGGACUAGCUUUCUCCUUUUGUAGAAGAGGGAACCGAGAGAAGGGAAGGGACUUGCUCAAGGUCACAUCCAAAUAAGCGCCUUCGAGUGGAGGGCUAGGAGCGAAUUCUGCCCUUGCUGACUCCGAAGCCAACCCUCAAAAAAUUUCCACUACCUUCCCCCUGCCUCCCCUCGGGAUUGUUACCAUUAUCUUUACUUGGGGCCCCGAGAGGAGGGAGGGGAGAAGAGUAGAAGGAAGGGUUCCGAGAAGAACGAGAUCGACACUGACAGAGCACUGGGAGGUUUGCAAAGCUCUUCCCGAGGUGUUCUCUCUUUUCUGGUAGGGACUCGGCCAUGCGGGUUAUUUGUUAAGCGCCUACUACGUGCCGGGCACUGUGUCAAGCGCUUUACAAAUAUUAUCUCUCGGGAUCCUGGGAUUCCCAGAAGGUCUGAGGCAGCUCCGCAGCCCGGAGGCUCAGACACACCCCGCCCCCUCCCCAAGCCAAGGAUGGUAAGUAUGCGCCCAGCCCGAUGUCCCGUGUGUGUGCCUUUGGAGGAGAGCCUGCGUGUUGUAGGAUAAAGAGAUUGGGUCACUCGACCCCAAAUCCUCGAUAGUAUUUCGUUGGUUCUUCUUGCCCAGGGCAAGCCCCUUUCUUGUCUGGGCCUCAGUUUCCCCGUCUUCCUUGCCGUCUCCUUUUUCCUUCUGUCUCUCAUUUGUGCUUUUACAUCUCCUCUCCAGUCCACCGUGUCUGCCUUCCUCUGCCCUCCCCUUCCCGGCUUGCUCUCCCCUGUCUGCCCUGCCCUCUCCUCUUUCCUCUCCAGGCCACUGUCCUCGGCAACUUCCCCUCUUCGCCCGGCCGGCAAAGGUUGGAAACCCCGCUCUAACGCAGCCUUCUCGAUCCCAGAAUCAGCAGCAGCAGCAGCUCUGCGCAGUCCCCGGGUCAGAGCGGCGGCCCCCGGCGGCUCCUCCUUCCCAGCUACCCGAGAAACCCGGGUCAGGGAAUUAACUAAAAAACGGAAACUACGGAAAGUGCCCGAAGACAGCCGGGGAGUGUGGGGUGGGGAUGGCGCGGGAGCGAUGCGGGACUCCACCGCCCUCCACUCUCCCUUCUUCCGACUCUUCCCCGUCUCUUACCCCCGCCAAGCCCCCACCUCCAUCUCCCCUACCGAUCUCUGUCCAGGCCACAGAGGGGAAGAGGAAGCCCAGCAUCCCUUGGGGCCCAGGUCCUAUGAAAAGGAAAAUUUAGCAUCGGUCUGGAGGGGCGGACCCGGCUCCACUGCUAGCUCCUUCUUUCCGAGCCUCUGACCUCCAAUCCAGGGCGGCAGCGGUGGCAUGCACCCGCACACCUACGCCGAUGCAAACAGACACACACAAAAUUGUGGACCCAAAUAGGGAGCAGAACACGCACUUAUCCAGGUACACCCCACACACACCCGUGACAACUUAUGCGUUCACUUCUCUCCUUCAGUGUGUUCGGAGCCCCCUCCUCCAGCCCAGGGCUCAGAGUAGGCCAGGAGGGGCUGCACUGCGCCCCAGUCCCGCGCUGGGGACCCUGCCUUCGUUCUAUCAGGGUCCCAGGGCCCUUGGUUUCCCAGGGUCUCUCGGGAGGCCUCUGUACUCUCUUUACCCCAGCCUCCUCAGUGUGGAGUCUAUGGGCCCCACACCAUCUGGGCUGCCGUAGGAGGCCGUCCUAACUCCCUUCCUGUGGCCCUGUGUGUGUGAGUUCGGGUGAAGGUGCCCGGCUAGCGUGAGUGGUUAACGCUUUUGGCCAGGGUCCUCCCAGACCCUCCCCGUGCAAUGCGGUGGAAUUCGAGAUCUGGAGAGGGCUCUGGAGCUGGGACGCGCUGGCGCGCACGAGUAGGUGUGGAGUAGGGUCUCUGCCCUCGGGCCCCUUCUCCCCACUUUCUUGGCCCCCUUGGGGAGUGAAUCCUGAGGUGCCUUCGUUAUUCGCGGGCUCGGACCAAGCUCAGCCUGCUGGUCCGCAGAGAGGGGUGCAAACUGAGGCCUAGAACCCGACCCGCGGAGAGUUUGUACACCUCGACCCGCCCACCUCUGUUCAGCCUCCGUCCCUCCCCCUGGCCCUGCCACUGGUUCUGCUUCCCCACCUCCAGCUCCUGCCGCUGCCCGCCUCCCUGCCCCGCCCUGGCCCAGGCCCCGGGCCUUCCCUCGCCCCAGGUAGCCCCGCCUCGGCCCUCUCCUCUGGCUGCGUCCUCUCUCCCUGGGCCUAGGCUUGGCCUUCCGCUCCUUGCUUGCCCUGAGGGGGGGAGGGGGAAGGUUGGGAAGGGGGGGGCCGCUGACUUUUCCCAGUGUUUACUCACGGAAUCAAAGUAAGCAAACGCCAUCUGUUUCCCUGCUGCGGCGCCGCGGCUUUUAAUUACCCGCUCAGCGGCCCUAAUAGAGAUGAUAUUAAACUAAAUCUUUCUGACAUUAAAAGUAAUUAUCCCCAAACCAAUAUAACUGGGAUAGAAAUUACCCUCCGUCCCUCCUCGCCCCCACCACCCCCGCCUGCAGCCCCUCAACCCCUCCAUACACACCCUUUUACCCCUCUCCGCCCCACCCACCUGCCCAAACUCCGCCCACCAGCCCCCCUCCUCAGAUCCCCGCCCCUUGCCGCCGGCCCCGCAGCCCCUCAGCCCGAACGCUGCCCUGGCGCCCAUACGCCCCCUUUGUGGCCCUGCCUGAGCGCCUUCCCCGGCACACACCGGCGGAGGCCGCCUGUAUCCCGUGCGUGACCCCAGCCCAGCAGCAGUGUCUGGUCCAAAAAGGAUCCUCCUAGGACAGAGCCAACGCCAGGCCAUCCUCUCCCUGAAGCUCUCCGGAGGCAGCUGCGGGGAGGAGAUGUUCUGCAGCGCCUACUCCACACCAGGCACUGUCCCAUUAGCUCAUUUGUUGCUCACGAAGACCCUCGUCAGGCCCACUACUGACCCCACAGCAGCUCCACAGAAUCCAGAAACUCAGAGGCAUCUAGUCCAAACAGGCCAAGUCUCCAUCCCUGCCUCCUACCCUCUCUCUAACACUGUUAAUACCGGAGGUGACCUGAAGACGGGCUGCAGCAGGAUGCGGAGGACUGGCGUUGGAACACACCCACCCCCCUCUCUGUGAUUAAUAUCCUGAGGUGGGAAUGGCCAUGAGUGAGACCUGGAUGACAAAACUCUCCGAGCCCCCUCAUGUUCCCUCCAUUGGAAUCUUCUCCCCUCCCCAGGGGCCCUGGCCAUAUAAGGCAAGAACACUCCUCCCAGUGUGGGGGAUUGUUUUGUAACAGCCUUUUGGGUUAUUCCUUCUCAGUAAAUCUAACAUUUUUUAAAAGCUAAUUGAUAUCAACUGGUAAGUACCCCAUGAGGGUAAUGGAAUGACAGUAAUGGAAACCUUGGUCCCUUAGCAUUUCCCCUAGAACCUUGAAGGGAAAUAGUUGUUACCCUCCAGGGAACCUAACCUACUAGUCUAAUGCUAGUUGGGAGAGUGACCCCAGAGAGGCUGCUAAAAAUGUAAAAAACAACACCAUCACCACACACACACACACACACACACACACACAGGACAAGCAAAGAUCCCUAGGGCUAUCCACUGGAGACCUGCCAAGUUGACAUUUAAGUCCUGUCUGCCCAUUUGUCUAGUUCAUAAACUCUACCAGGAAAAGCACCAUUUAUUUAUUUGUUUGUUUUUACCCCUUUACCUUCCAUCUUAGAAUCAAUACUAUGUAUUAGUGCCAAGGCAGAAGAGUGAUAAGGGCUGGGCAACUGGGGUUAAGUUACAUACCCAGGGUCAUAUAGCUAGGAAGUGUCUGAUGUCAGAUUCGAACCCAGGAUAUCCCUUCUCCAGACCAGGUUCCCUAUCCACUGUGCCACCUAGCUCCCCUAGCCCCAUAUUUUAGAUAAGAUAUCGACUCAUCAUAGAGUGAUGAGAGGAUGGUAAAUGAUGGUGAUCAGAGACCCUUCCAGAUAAGGAUCCAUGGAAGGAACUAAGUAAAGAUGCUUAGAAUAAAGGACAGAAGACAUAAUUGUCUUCAGAUACGUAAAGGACUGUCUCGUUGAGGGGGAUUAGAUUUGUUCUUUUGGGCUCCAGAGGGUAAAAUCAACAGUAAUGAGAGAGGGAGGGAGAUUUCAGCUGAAUAUAAGGAAAAACGUUUCCUGACAAUGAGAUCUAUCCCAAAGAGGACUAGUAAUGCUUGAAGAAGAGCCUUUAACAUUUGCAGAGUUACCCAUAUAUUACCUCAUUUAUGACAUGCUGGCUGCCUUCAAAGACUGGAUGACCACAUGACAGGCCUGCUGGAGGGGAUUGUCCACACGUUCAGCCUCGUGUUAUACUAGACAGCCCCUUGGGUCCCAUCUACCACAGAGAUUUUGGGAUUCACUGACCAAUUAACCAAGACCAGUGAACUCAAACCCCCAAACUUCCGACCUUCUUAACCCUGAACUUUUUUCCCUUUGGUUCAGAGAUCUGAAGCACCUGUGCCCUCCUUGUGCCAGUGCCCCAUCUCCUAGUGCCCUGCACUUAGUACCUACUCCCUUCUUUGGUACACUGUGGCUCUCCCGAGGAUUAUUUAAAAGGUAGAAGUGUAUAAAGCUAUAAAUAAUAGACUGCAGGAUAAGGUCAGUAGAAAGAUAUUUAAAAGAAAACUAUUCCUGGCGUCGCCUGAAUGUCCCCUAAGCCUUCUAAUUUAAUUCUUGACCAAAGUUUCUUGUUCUGGUGGCCUUUCUCUUGAUCAAUGUCCUGUGUUCCAGCAGCAGCAAUCUAAUAAUAAUAAUUGCUAACAUUUAUGUAGCACUUAGUCAAUAAAAAUAUUUAUCUACUAUGUGCCAGGCACUGUGCCAAAGUUUGCAAAGAAUUUUGCAAAUACCUCUCAUUUUUGAUCCUUAUACAUCCCAGUGAGGUAGGUACCAUUAUUAUCCCUAUUUUACAGAUGAGGAAAUUGAGGCGAAGAAAGGUUAAAUGACUUUUCUAGGGUCAUAUGGCUAAUUAGCAUCUACAUGGAAUUUAGUCUACCUGACUCCUGGCCCAGGACUCUUUCCACACUGCCAAGCUGCCUCUCAAGGCAUUUAUUUAUUGUUCAGAGAUCUGUUUAUAUCUUAUCUUAGCCUGAAAUCUCCAAUGUAUCUCCAAUGUGUGAAGAUUCCCUUUCUGAAGGGAAGGCUCACUUGAAUUAAAUAGUCUUUGUCCCUUCAUGGACUUGAAGAGAGCUUGGAGCUUGGAAUUGGACAUCGUCUCUCUCAAUGCAAAAAUUCAGAAGAGACCCAAGAGCCAGGAUCUCUCUUCUCCCUUGCUCUCACUAACUGCCUGCCACAGAGGCACUGAGUAAUCUCCACCAGUGAGGAGGAAGCUCCAUGUGGGUUACAUUAUGAAUAACAAGUUUAUGUUUCUUCGUACUCCACUUUGCAUCAGUUCUAAGAAGUCUUCUGACCUCUAUUUCCUAGAUUCAUUAUUUCCAAUGGUGAAAUACAUUCUGUGCUGUAUAAUCAAUAAACCCCACUAGAGUACACAUUCUA
Long non-coding RNA from Monodelphis domestica (gray short-tailed opossum), 7311 nucleotides. RefSeq lists it as uncharacterized. The record is from RefSeq and is a predicted model, not a curated record. Lineage: Eukaryota; Metazoa; Chordata; Mammalia; Didelphimorphia; Didelphidae.